Lathyrus oleraceus (garden pea) is the source of this 367-nucleotide long non-coding RNA. RefSeq lists it as uncharacterized. The record is from RefSeq and is a predicted model, not a curated record. Lineage: Eukaryota; Viridiplantae; Streptophyta; Magnoliopsida; Fabales; Fabaceae. The transcript is spliced from 3 exons.
GCUCAAAACUUCCCCAACAAUGGCAACCUCACGCACCCCAGACUUCACAUUUCACUCAAUCUCACUCUUGCUCUCAACGAAACCCCUUUCAAACACUCUCAGCUCUCACAAAAACAAAUCAAACAACAAGCAUGAAGAGAAAGAAAAAGAGUAGGAAAGAAAGGUUCUUACAGGGCGUCGCUGCGGUGGUGGUGAUGGAUGCGAAGAAAACUGGCCUCCAGCUUUAGGGUUUAGGGUUGUUGUCUGGAAUUCCAAAGAAUAUCUUCUGCAAACUACUUUUGAUGCGCUCAGUUGGGAUUGGCCUUUUUGAUGCUUGAUUCGGAAAAGGGUGAUGUGAAUGAUAUGCAACCUUGCUAAUCUCGACUAG